GUCUUAUUUCAUUUCAUUAGCAUAAUUUUAGAGUACAAAACUAUAAGAAAAACUAUAAUAAAAAAAAAAAUUCAAAUUAUUGCAUGACAACACAAUAAAUAAAUGAAAGCUCAUUGAAUAAUCCGAGAGAAUUUGCGUCUCUCUUGGGUCUUGUACUCUGUCAUAUAUGAAAUCAUUCUAACACUCACAAAAACGUCCUACACAUGAACUUUGGACAACGACCAUCCCUACCGCAUAGAACUAUAAAAAUAAAAAAAAUGUUACUAAAAUGUGAGAAAAUAUUAAGUACGAAGUAACGAAAAAUGUUGAAAAGGAAAAAAUUGUUUUACCUCUCAUGCUCAUUGUAACAAUAAGUGGAGAAAUAAAGAUGAUCAUAUCAAAAAUAUUUUUUGUUAUU
Molecule: long non-coding RNA, 397 nt
Filed under: Medicago truncatula (barrel medic)
Lineage: Eukaryota; Viridiplantae; Streptophyta; Magnoliopsida; Fabales; Fabaceae
Description: lncRNA gene43313
Source: RNAcentral